GACGAACGUUGGCGGCGUGCUUAACACAUGCAAGUCGAACGGAAAGGCCCUGCUUUUGUGGGGUGCUCGAGUGGCGAACGGGUGAGUAACACGUGAGUAACCUGCCCUUGACUUUGGGAUAACUUCGGGAAACUGGGGCUAAUACCGGAUAGGAGCUCCUGCUGCAUGGUGGGGGUUGGAAAGUUUCGGCGGUUGGGGAUGGACUCGCGGCUUAUCAGCUUGUUGGUGGGGUAGUGGCUUACCAAGGCUUUGACGGGUAGCCGGCCUGAGAGGGUGACCGGCCACAUUGGGACUGAGAUACGGCCCAGACUCCUACGGGAGGCAGCAGUGGGGAAUAUUGCACAAUGGGCGGAAGCCUGAUGCAGCAACGCCGCGUGCGGGAUGACGGCCUUCGGGUUGUAAACCGCUUUCGCCUGUGACGAAGCGUGAGUGACGGUAAUGGGUAAAGAAGCACCGGCUAACUACGUGCCAGCAGCCGCGGUGAUACGUAGGGUGCGAGCGUUGUCCGGAUUUAUUGGGCGUAAAGGGCUCGUAGGUGGUUGAUCGCGUCGGAAGUGUAAUCUUGGGGCUUAACCCUGAGCGUGCUUUCGAUACGGGUUGACUUGAGGAAGGUAGGGGAGAAUGGAAUUCCUGGUGGAGCGGUGGAAUGCGCAGAUAUCAGGAGGAACACCAGUGGCGAAGGCGGUUCUCUGGGCCUUUCCUGACGCUGAGGAGCGAAAGCGUGGGGAGCGAACAGGCUUAGAUACCCUGGUAGUCCACGCUGUAAACGGUGGGUACUAGGUGUGGGGUCCAUUCCACGGGUUCCGUGCCGUAGCUAACGCUUUAAGUACCCCGCCUGGGGAGUACGGCCGCAAGGCUAAAACUCAAAGGAAUUGACGGGGCCCCGCACAAGCGGCGGAGCAUGCGGAUUAAUUCGAUGCAACGCGUAGAACCUUACCCGGGUUUGACAUGGAUCGGGAGUGCUCAGAGAUGGGUGUGCCUCUUUUGGGGUCGGUUCACAGGUGGUGCAUGGCUGUCGUCAGCUCGUGUCGUGAGAUGUUGGGUUAAGUCCCGCAACGAGCGCAACCCUUGUUCACUGUUGCCAGCACGUUAUGGUGGGGACUCAGUGGAGACCGCCGGGGUCAACUCGGAGGAAGGUGGGGAUGACGUCAAGUCAUCAUGCCCCUUAUGUCCAGGGCUUCACGCAUGCUACAAUGGCUGGUACAGAGAGUGGCGAGCCUGUGAGGGUGAGCGAAUCUCGGAAAGCCGGUCUCAGUUCGGAUUGGGGUCUGCAACUCGACCCCAUGAAGUCGGAGUCGCUAGUAAUCGCAGAUCAGCAACGCUGCGGUGAAUACGUUCCCGGGGCU
RNAcentral lists this ribosomal RNA (1346 nucleotides) under uncultured bacterium. RNAcentral describes it as "bacterial SSU rRNA". It matches the Rfam family "Bacterial small subunit ribosomal RNA", at positions 28 to 1381 of the family's 1533-position model. The record is from RNAcentral.